RNAcentral lists this ribosomal RNA (474 nucleotides) under Agriomorpha fusca. RNAcentral's name for it is "partial 16S ribosomal RNA". It matches the Rfam family "Archaeal large subunit ribosomal RNA", at positions 2000 to 2677 of the family's 2987-position model. The record is from RNAcentral. Lineage: Eukaryota; Metazoa; Arthropoda; Insecta; Odonata; Thaumatoneuridae.
UUUAACGGCCGCGGUAUUUUGACCGUGCAAAGGUAGCAUAAUCAUUAGUCUUUUAAUAGAAGGCUGGAAUGAAGGGUUAAACGAAACAUUAACUGUCUCAUUUAUAUUAUUAGAAUUUAAUUUUUGAGUCAAAAAGCUUAAAUUUUAUUGGAGGACGAGAAGACCCUAUAGAGCUUUAUAUUUUAUUAUUUUAUAAUAUUUUGUUUAAUAUAUUUUUAUUAAUUAUUAAUUUAUUUUGUUGGGGUGACAAAAACACUUAAUAAACUUUUUUAUUUUAUUUACAUAAAUGCAUGAAUAUUUGAUCCAGUAUUAUUGAUUGUUAGAUUAAGUUACCUUAGGGAUAACAGCGUAAUCUUCUUUGGGAGUUCUUAUUUACAAGAAGGCUUGCGACCUCGAUGUUGGAUUAAGAUUAUUAUUUGGUGUAGUAGCUGAAUUGGUAGGUCUGUUCGACCUUUAAAAUCUUACAUGAUCUGA